GCUGCCUACAGCAGACGUAUACUAAAAUGGAAACAUACAGAGAAGAUUUGCCCAGCCCCUGUGCAAGGAUACCAUGCAGAUUUUUGCCGCAUUCCUGAUGUUU
Ictidomys tridecemlineatus (thirteen-lined ground squirrel) is the source of this 103-nucleotide small nuclear RNA. The record is from Ensembl. NCBI's taxonomy places the organism in Eukaryota, Metazoa, Chordata, Mammalia, Rodentia, Sciuridae.